This 527-nucleotide ribosomal RNA is filed under the name Bruchidius cisti. Its description in RNAcentral is "partial 16S ribosomal RNA". It matches the Rfam family "Bacterial large subunit ribosomal RNA", at positions 1807 to 2608 of the family's 2925-position model. Lineage: Eukaryota; Metazoa; Arthropoda; Insecta; Coleoptera; Chrysomelidae. The record is from RNAcentral.
UCAAAAACAUGGCCUAUUGAAAAUAAUUUUAGGUUUGGCCUGCCCCCUGAGUAGUUAAAUGGCCGCGGUAUUUUGACCGUGCUAAGGUAGCAUAAUCAUUAGUUUCUUAAUUAGAAGCUAGAAUGAAUGGUUGGAUGAAAAAAAUUCUGUCUCUAUUUAAAAUUUAUGGAAUUUUAUUUUUUAGUAAAAAAGCUAAAAUAUUUUUAAAAGACGAGAAGACCCUAUAGAGUUUAAUAUUUUUAUUUUAUAAAAUUUUUUAGAAUAUAAAUUUUUAUAAAAUAUAAGUAUUUAAUUGGGGUGAUUGAAAAAUUAGAGUAACUUUUUCUUUUCUAAACACUAAUUGGUGAUUAAUUGAUCCAUUAUUUAUGAUUAUAAGAUUAAAUUACCUUAGGGAUAACAGCGUAAUAUUUUCAAAGAGUUCUAAUCGAAGAAAAAGAUUGCGACCUCGAUGUUGGAUUAAAAUUAACUUUAGGUGUAGAAGCUUAAAAGUUGGGUCUGUUCGACCUUUAAAAUUUUACAUGAUCUGA